UGCACAAGUAGACAUGGUGUGAUAUUGGUUCGGUUCAUAUCUUUUAUACUUUUUGGAUAUAUCCAUCCAUCCAUUCAUCCAUCCAUCCAUCCAUCACACUUCACGAAUCACAAACAAAGAUGACGAGCCGAAUCAAUAUCACUCUUGUAUGCUUGUCU
Prunus persica (peach) is the source of this 158-nucleotide microRNA precursor. Lineage: Eukaryota; Viridiplantae; Streptophyta; Magnoliopsida; Rosales; Rosaceae. The record is from Rfam.